RNAcentral lists this small RNA (440 nucleotides) under Drosophila pseudoobscura pseudoobscura. Its description in RNAcentral is "GA32687". Lineage: Eukaryota; Metazoa; Arthropoda; Insecta; Diptera; Drosophilidae. The record is from RNAcentral.
CAUACAUACAUACAUAUCAUCCGAUAAUAGCGUGGCACGUAGACAUGCGAUCUGGAGGAUCCUACAAAUGAAUGGCGUCCGAAAAAGGAACUCAAUUUACGUAGGAUCAUAGCCUCAGAUGGAGUCCCGGUAAACCUAGCAAUCCCGUGCAAUCGUUCCAUUGUCCAGAAUGUGAGUCAAUACUACAUCGUGUGCGAAUGCACAGAGAGCUCUGCAGUCCCGGAUGUUUUUUCCGAUCACGAGAAGGCGUGGAACGCCUACGCUUGCAAGGAACAGCAAGGAUAAUGCACUUUAGGAAAUGCUUUAUGUUAUUAUUAUGCAUACAUAUAUAAGAUUAUUGUAACACAUACUCACAUGCCAGAACGUACCUAUGAACUUACAUAAUUAAACAUAUAAAUAGUUACAUCAUUAAAUAAUAUAUUUGUAAAAAAUAAAUGAAA